GGAGACAUGUAAGAUGCCCUGUGAGAAAUCAGUCACACUCUAUUGAUGGUGUUUGAAUUUUUGAAUCAAAGCUUAUUAUUGCCCCUGGCUUUGUUAGUUCAUAGUGGUUAAACCACAACCCAAGAAUGAAAAAUAAAGAAUGUCAAUCAAAAAAUGGUGCAAUAUCUAAUGAGUGGGAGCAGGGAUUGAUAUUACUGUACAGACUUUUAGAGUUGGAGCUAAAACAUUUAUAACCGUAGAUAAAGUAAACUGAUAGCUUUAUUUCUGCCUCCACCUUCAAUGAAAGAGAAAAAAGGGGGUCAAGGAGGAGGCUGCGUCGAGAGUAUAUUUUCCAGGAGAGCCUUCAACAUUGGGGAGGAUCAGACUGAUCCCACCGAGAAGCUGGACAAGGAGAUACAGCACUGGACAGGGGUCCAGCCAUCCAGGACACCAGCUGUGACGAAACAGAAGAAGGCAAACAGGACUGUGGGGUGGAGAGGUGGUGUUGGCUGGGAGAAACUGCGGAGAGCAAUUUGAAGUCACUACUCAAGAUGUUGACUAAGACAGAACAAUUGAAGGUAGCAGAUACUGACCACUGCAAGGAGUCACACAAAACUGUGACUGACAUGAGUGAAGCACCGGACAGCCGUGAGGAGAGAGACAGUUCGGCAAUGGACGAUGGCUGUAAUGCUGAGGAUUUUGGUCCGAGGACAAUGGCUGAUAAGGGGGGGGACAAACAGCCCCUUUCAAAUAGGCAUAGCAAUGAAUUUUCCAGACCGAAAAUGGAUGAUGAAUGUCCACAAAGCUCUAAGGGCAGAAGCAGCUUGAUGUUGGACGAACACUUAUCAAGGGACACAAUGGAGCUGAGUCAUAGUAAAAAGGAGUUGGAGGUGUUGGAGGCAAUCACAAAUUUGUUACUGAACAACAGAGAGGACAGUACUACUGUUCACUGGGUGGAGUGGUGCAAGACUGCUGUUGAUGAUCUUGAGGGACCUCAGCUGGACAAUGGUCUACCAUGUCAACCCUACACUAUAGAGACAGCAAAUGAUGUGCUGUACAGCUGUGAGGAGAGAGACAGUUUGCUGAUGGAUGAAGAGUGCGAUGAUGAGCAUUUCUCCUUGAGCACAAUGAGGAGUGUGAAAGGGAGGGGGUGCGUGCAGUCCGUUUUGAGCACACACAGCAACGAGAUCGUAAGACCCGAGUUCAGUGGACGAGCUGAAACGGAAUAUGAAAUUUUCGCGAGAGGGAAGGAAGAACAGCGCUGUAGAACAAGUACUACAGAUAGUGGAAAGGAUUCUGGCAGAGGAUCUAUGUACAGUUUAGACAGCAUUUAGGAAUGUGUCAGUGACAGAGCUGCUUAAUACAGCACAAUCAUACUAUUAAAAUAAUUACUUAUGAUUUUGUUAUUAUUAUUAUUAUUAUUAUUAUUAUUAUUAUUAUUGUAUUUGGGUGUAUUGGGUUUGGGUGAUUUUUGGGUGUACACUCUUGGAACAAAUUAGACUUUCCCCCAUUAAAAAAAUGGUAUUUGUCCUUUCGGUUUACAGAUUUUUUUGCAGACGAAGGCUUUUCCAGGAGCAAAUUAAGUUGAUAAACCGAGCAAUUGGUGUAAUCACUAAUAUGAGCUUCCAGGAAUAUUAACUGAAAUUUGUAAUAUUGUUUUGUCUGAGCAAGAUUUUGGAAGUUUUGUUUGAGAGCAAGCCUGUGGUGUUAACGAAAACACGAAGAAUAUACCAUUGGUACCAUUAAGUUCCACAGAAC
RNAcentral lists this long non-coding RNA (1737 nucleotides) under Scleropages formosus (Asian bonytongue). Its description in RNAcentral is "lncRNA (ENSSFOG00015028550.1)". The record is from RNAcentral. Lineage: Eukaryota; Metazoa; Chordata; Actinopteri; Osteoglossiformes; Osteoglossidae.